UAAGAACAUUUGACUUGGAAAAUCCUCAUUUACUAUGUUAUUUUAAAUUCUUAUUGAAACUUUCAACAUUAUCAGUCGUUACUAAUCAUCUUCAAUUAUUUAUUGCAUUAUUUCACAUCAUUUACUUUUUCAUUGAUCAUUCAAACAUUCAACCGAUUAAUCUAAUGCAAUGCAAAAGUAAUCUUCCCCAAACAGAAAUCCAGAGACCUUCCAUGAUCACAAGAACUCUCUUCAGUCUUCAACAUACAGGAAGAAGAAUAUUACCAUCCAAAUCUCACCAGAAUGAGCUUCCCUACAGGCUAAACUUACCUUACCGAUGAAAUGAAAAUCUCUUCCAUUACCGCCGAUCAGAGCCACGGCUACAAUAGUUCCGAUCAACAAGUUGCAAAGGAGAUCGAUUCUGAUGGAGAUGAAUCCAUGCGGUUAUCUUUAGAUUCUGAGAGCCGCUGGAGUCUUCUGAACUCAUUCCCUGCUUUCUUUCUGUCCUUGCUGAAUCUUGAGAGCGAAGAUUCGAAGCUGACUCCAGAUGGAGAGUUCGAUUUCGAUUGGUUUCAGUCUAAUUUUCCGAGUCCGUCAUUCCGGAGCGGUUACGAUUUCGAAGUGAAAUUAACAGGAUUUGUAGCAAUCGAAGAAGCUGAUCGCGACGGACCGUUGUUCUGGCCGCUCGAACAUGAAACUGAAUGGAAAUCGAUGGAAGAUUGGGACUGGUUUGCGAUUUCACCGCGGAAGAAGGAUUUGAAAUCUUCUGCUCUGACUCUGAACUCGACCGGAUUGCGAUUUCACGAACAGAAGAUAACUCUGAAUCAAGCGCCGAAGAGGAGGCUCGCGUUCAACUCGAGAUCGGUGGUGUCGGAGAUGAUGGAGUUGAUGCAUAGGCGUGAUACGAAAGCUAGUGUUCCGAGGAUCGGUGCUGUUCCUUCGAGAUUCAAUAAGGGAACGAGGAAUCCUGCCGGAAAACGUUCUGAUGAGAAAUUAAUCGCAGUGGAUAGAGAUUUUGUGGAGGACUUGGCGGCGCGUGAAGAAGUUCCGAUCGAAACGUUGUUAGGGCUUCAUGAAUUCGAUGGCCGCGAGGGAUUCAGUUCAGAGUUCGAUGACGUUGUGUUAUCACUCGAUGCAGAUAAAACCUUUAAUUCGCUUGCCAUGGUAUAAACUAUUGAAAGAAUAUAUAUGUGGUUAUUUUUCCUUUUAUUAUAAGGAUAAUAAUAUUGUAUAGUUGGUUAGGAUUUCUGUAAUUUCUCAUCCUCUCUCAUUGCUACACGUGGCAUGUAUUUUUCUAUUUAGGUUUGGCCCUUGGCCUUCUCUUUGUAUGUGAAAAAUAUUGCAUUCUGUCAAUGAAUUAAUUCCCUUUAUGGUAUCAAAGCCAACGACUCUUAAGUUUCUUCUUUCAUGGCUUCAGACGAUGGUCCAUCGUCUUCUUUUGAACAAAGUGUUACUCCGUUGAGCUCUCUGUCUACACUUAUGGCUACGAUGGUGGAAAUUUCCACUCGUUCUCUUCCAGUGGAGUCUAUCACGGUUACUAUUUCGAUUCAUAAGCUACGAUUACCAGAUGUUUGACCUCCUCUGGUUCGACCUCUUUCUUCAUAAACUUAUCCACCAGUUUACCCUACCUAUGUUUAGGCCUUCAGUGUUUGUUCCGACUACCCUCUACCCUAAUAAUAUAGGGUACUCUCCUAAUCAUAAAUUUUAUCCUCCAGGGUAUCAGACUUUUACACCUCCACCUAAUUUUCCAAACAUCCCACAUCUAUCCUCAGCGGCUUCACCUUACUUUCAACCCAAUCCUUACCCUACCUUGUCUUAGCCUUUAACUGUCAAAAUUAAUGAUAAUAACUUCCUUCUUUGGAAGAAUCAACUGUUCAACGCAGUUUUCGCUAAUGGCCUUAAAGGAAUUUUCUAUGGCAUGGUGACUACUCUACCUAAGUUCUUGGACCCGCAAUAGGUGCAGCUAAAUCCUGAUUUUCUAGUAUGGGAAAGGUAUAAUCGUUUUAUUAUGUAUUGGAUUUAUUUAUCAUUGUUUGAAGAAAAAAGGGUGAAAUUAUGAAUUUGGAAACUGCUAAUGCUAUUUGGGAGUCUUUAAAAUGUACAUAGAUAAUAGCCUUAAAAUCUCAGUUGCAACAUAUUAAAAAGGAUCGUCUAUUUGUGAGUCAAUAUUUAGCUCAAAUUAAAACAGUGGCUGAUAAGUUCUCUGCUAUUGGAGAACCUAUGUCGUAGCGGGAUCAUCCUAGCUCAUAUCAUAGAUGGUCUAGGAAGUGAGUACAACGCCUUUAUUACCACUAUUUAAAACAAAUCAGAUAGACCUUCUCUUGAGGAUGUUAGAAGUUUGCUUAUUGCUUAUGAGAAUAGAUUGGAAAAAUAGAAUGUUGUUGAACAAUUAAAUGUUACUCAAGCUAAUUUUGUUAAUCUUUCCUUUCAACGCAACAAUAGGCAUUCUUCUCCUAAGCCAUUUAACUCUUCUUCCCGACCCUCUUCCACCCCUAUUUCAAACCCAAUUCAGUCAGCUCCAUCUUCAAAUGUCUUUGGCAAAACUCAAUCACAAUUGAAAUGGCCCUCCAAACCAAAGACAUAGUGUCAAAUUUGUCAAAAACCUAGUCAUUCUGCCUUUACAAGUUAUCGACACCCCAACCUUAAUUUUCAACCUCCUUCAUUCCAACCUCAAGCACAUAUGAUCACUGUCCAACCUUUCUCUUCCUCUUCCUCACCCGAUUCCGCUUCCUUCUCUGAGUAUCAACAUCCUGAUGAGGGGUGGUUUAUGGACUCCGGUGCUACCCAUCACUUAACUCCGGAUUCUUCUUCCUUAUGCAACCAUCUUCCUUAUCAUGGUGGUGAGCAAGUUAUGGUGGGAAAUGUUUUUGGCACCGUUACCGAGGAUCGAACCCGGGUCACCCGCGUGAUAGGCGAGAAUACUUACCACUAUACUACAAUUUAAGUGGUGGUGUCAUCCCCGUGCUGUGUUCGUGUGGAGUCCGUUCGUGGGCAGAAGACAGUGAUUUGGUGGACGAUUUGCUUGGACUUUCCUUGCGAGAGCGAAAGGAGCAGUCCUUGGUGAGAGCGAUAUUUUGGUGAAGAAAAGUUCUUCAACUGGUACGUUUCUUGUUCUCUUAUUGUUUAAUUGUUCAAAACAUGCCGGUAAUUUGUUGUGAAAUGCAUAUCUAUUCUGUUAGAAUGUAAAUGCGGUAAUUCUGUCACAAUGAGUUUCGAACGAUCCGCUUUCGCUCAGAGGUACUCUUGUAUAAGAGUUCCUUCAGUGACAAGAUCAACAGCUGGUAUUUUUAAACCAAAAGCUUGGCAUGUCCAUUCCUCUCUUCCUUCUAACCUUCUUAAUGAACCAUCUUCCUUUAUGUCUGCUAUUAAAUAUGUUGAACGGAGAGAUUUAAAUAUGUUGAACGGAGAGAAGUGAUGCAGCAUGAGUAUAAUGCCUUGAUGAAUAAUGAUACUUGAGUGCUUGUUCCUAAUUCUCCGGAUUUCAAGGUUAUUAGCUAUAAAUGAGUAUAGAAGUUAAAGUUAAAACCUAAUGGUGAUAUAGAAAGGUAUAAAGCUAGGCUUGUAGCUUGUGGUUAUGAUCAAGCUUAUGGUAUUGACUAUUUUGAAACUUUUUUUUCCGUUGUAAAACUGGGUACAAUUUUUCUUGUAUUAAGUCUUACUGUUCAAUUUAAUUGGUAUAUUCAUCAACUAGAUGUACACAAUGCUUUCUUAAAUGGUGACCUUCAUGAGGAUGUUUAUAUGCUUCAACCUCCAAGCUUUAUUGACUAAGAUAAGCCUACACAUGUGUGUAAGUUACAAAAGGCCUUGUAUGGUUUGAAGCAAAGCUCUUAUGAGUGGUUCAUAAAACUAAGCACUUGUUUGUUGAGCUAGAACUUUUCUGCAUCAAAAUCUGAUGUGGUUCAUAAAACUAAAUACUUAUUUGUUGAGCUGGAACUUUUUUGCAUCAAAAUCAGGUUCUUCUCUUUUCAUCUUUCGACAGCAAGAUGUUUUAGUCAUAAUUUUGGUUUAUAUUGAUGAUAUACUCGUGGUUGGAAAUAAUUUGAAGCUCAUCGGUCAGUUUAUAUCUUCUCUUAAUUCCCUUUUUGCUCUUAAGGAUCUUGGGAAUGUCUCAUAUUUUUUAGGUAUUGAGGUAACAAUAAGUGUUGAUUCUAUUUUUUUUUUUUUAAUCUCAAAGCAAUUUAUUUUCGAGAUCUUCUUGGCAAGCGGAGAUGGCUUGGUAAAGCCCCUAAAUACACCUAUGGUUGCUGGUUCUUCAUUAUCCUUGAAUGAUAGUCCAUUGUUUCAUGAUCCAUCUUUGUAUAGAUGUAUAGUUGGUACUCUUCAAUAUUGUACCUUAACAACGCUUGAUUUAUGUUUUUUCUAUUAAUAAAGUUUGUCAGUUCUUGCAUGCUCCCACGGUUAAACAUUGGACUACUGUUAAGCGUAUUUUACGUUACUUACAGACUUCUAGCUCUCUUGGUUUAGUUUUCACUAGGUCUCGAGAUUUGUUAUUAAUAUGUUACACAGUGCUGAUUGAGCGAAUUGUCCUGAUGACAGAAGGAGUACUAAUGAUUAUUGCCUUUCUCUUGGUUCUAAUUUAAUUUCAUGGUCUUCUACUAAGCAGAAAGUUGUUUCUCAAUCGAAUGCAUAGUUCGAGUACAGAGCAAACCCACUGUUCCAUCAUCGUUUGAAGAAUAUAGAAAUUGAUCAUCAUUUUAUACGUGAUCGUGUGGUGUGUCGUCAACUUCUUGUUCGUUUUGUCCCUUCGGAGGACCAAUUAGCUAAUAUCAUGACCAAACCUCUUCCUACCACCCGAUUUUGUUGUCUCAAGAACAAGCUCUCUGUUCAGCAUCACCCAGUUUUGCUUGCAGAGGAUGAAAGAAUAUAUCUACAGUUAUUUUUCCUUUGAUUAUAAGGAUAAUAAUAUUGUAUACUUUGUUAAGAUUUCUAUUAUUUCUCAUCUUCUCUCAUUGCUACAUGUGACAUGUAUUUUUCUAUUUAGGUUUGGCCCUCUGCCUUCUCUUUGUAUGUGAGAAAUAUUGCAUUUUGUCAAUGAAUUAAUUCCCUUUAACUA
Non-coding RNA from Benincasa hispida (wax gourd), 5032 nucleotides. The record is from RefSeq and is a predicted model, not a curated record. Lineage: Eukaryota; Viridiplantae; Streptophyta; Magnoliopsida; Cucurbitales; Cucurbitaceae.